AUUGCAGAAUUCAGUGAAUCAUCGAAUCUUUGAACGCAUCUUGCGCUCCUUGGUAUUCCGAGGAGCAUGCCUGUUUGAGUGUCAUU
RNAcentral lists this ribosomal RNA (86 nucleotides) under uncultured fungus. RNAcentral describes it as "partial 5.8S ribosomal RNA". It matches the Rfam family "5.8S ribosomal RNA", at positions 71 to 154 of the family's 154-position model. Rfam says of the family: 5.8S ribosomal RNA (5.8S rRNA) is a component of the large subunit of the eukaryotic ribosome. It is transcribed by RNA polymerase I as part of the 45S precursor that also contains 18S and 28S rRNA. Lineage: Eukaryota; Fungi. The record is from RNAcentral.